GUCUUUUUGAUUAUAAUUUAAAGUCUAACCUGCCCACUGAAUUUUUUGAAGGGCCGCGGUAUUUUGACUGUGCAAAGGUAGCAUAAUCAUUAGUCUUUUAAUUGGAGGCUUGUAUGAAUGGUUGGAUGAGGUAUUAACUGUCUCAAUUUAAUAAGUAAUAGAAUUUUAUUUUUAAGUUAAAAAGCUUAAAUUUAAUUAAAAGACGAGAAGACCCUAUAGAUCUUUAUAAUUUAUUUUAUAAUAAUUUUUUAGAUAAAAUUUAUUUUUAUAUAAUUAAUUAUUUUAUUGGGGUGAUAAAAAAAUUUAUAAAACUUUUUUUUGUGUAUAAACAGUGAUAUUUGAUUAAUUGAUCCAUUUUUUGUGAUUAUAAGAUUAAGUUACCUUAGGGAUAACAGCGUAAUUUUUUUGGAGAGUUCUUAUCGAUAAAAAAGAUUGCGACCUCGAUGUUGAAUUAAAGGUUAAUUUUAGGUGUAGAAGUUUAAAAUUUUGGUCUGUUCGACCAUUAAAUC
Molecule: ribosomal RNA, 509 nt
Filed under: Parachauliodes japonicus
Lineage: Eukaryota; Metazoa; Arthropoda; Insecta; Megaloptera; Corydalidae
Description: partial large subunit ribosomal RNA
Rfam family: Bacterial large subunit ribosomal RNA (bases 388-509)
Source: RNAcentral